Molecule: non-coding RNA, 29 nt
Filed under: Homo sapiens (human)
Lineage: Eukaryota; Metazoa; Chordata; Mammalia; Primates; Hominidae
Source: RNAcentral
UCAGGAAUCUGUGCAGACACCCCAGUGCC